RNAcentral lists this transfer RNA (76 nucleotides) under archaeon. Its description in RNAcentral is "tRNA-Met". It matches the Rfam family "tRNA". From Rfam's summary of the family: Transfer RNA (tRNA) molecules are approximately 80 nucleotides in length. Their secondary structure includes four short double-helical elements and three loops (D, anti-codon, and T loops). Further hydrogen bonds mediate the characteristic L-shaped molecular structure. tRNAs have two regions of fundamental functional importance: the anti-codon, which is responsible for specific mRNA codon recognition, and the 3' end, to which the tRNAs corresponding amino acid is attached (by aminoacyl-tRNA synthetases). tRNAs cope with the degeneracy of the genetic code in two manners: having more than one tRNA (with a specific anti-codon) for a particular amino acid; and 'wobble' base-pairing, i.e. permitting non-standard base-pairing at the 3rd anti-codon position. RNAcentral also lists the same sequence under 1 other name. The record is from RNAcentral.
GCCGGGGUAGCACAGCUUGGCCUACUGCGUCGGACUCAUAAUCCGAAGAUCGCGGGCUCGAAUCCCGCCCCCGGCA